Long non-coding RNA from Homo sapiens (human), 3343 nucleotides. RefSeq lists it as uncharacterized. The transcript is spliced from 2 exons. Lineage: Eukaryota; Metazoa; Chordata; Mammalia; Primates; Hominidae. The record is from RefSeq and is a predicted model, not a curated record.
GGAAGGCUGACUUUCUCCAAGCUGAAACUUCUGCAGAGACUUAAUGGAUUUUUGCUGAACCUGGACAAUGUGAACAGGAAAGAUUCAUCUGUGCUCACAGGUGCUGCGUCUACCAACUCCAUGUGAUUCUGGUGAAGUGGUGAAAUGUGUGGCUCCCUUAGUUAGUAAAAACCACGUAGCUCUUACUUCUUCCAGGGAUUGUUCUAAAUUCUUUUAAAAUAUUAAUUUAUUUAACACAACAAGCUUAUGUGGUGAUUUCCAUUGUUUACCUCAUUUAACAGGUGAGAAAAUAGAAGCAUGGGUAAAUGUAGUGUCUUAAUGAAAUUUAUACAGCUAGUAAGUGACAGAGCUGGAAUUUACAUACAGAUUGUUACACUCAAGGGUCUCUGGUUUUAAAUCCUACAGUGUGAUGAACAUGUGACUGAGACUGGCCCAUUGGAUGACUCCACUUUCUCGAAUCAGUGAGUGGUUCAGGGUUGUCAUGUGGAUUCUUACACGGUGAACCCAGUUUAUGGCAAUUAUUGAUCUGAAUCCUGGGAGAGAGAAUUUUACUUUCCUUUUUUGUAAGAUUGCUUGUUAUGAAGAUGAUGUUUUUUAAAGUGGUUCACCUUGGAGUGUUAGUUGCUAGUUUGCUUCAUGAUAACUGCUAAAAAACUUGACGAAGCCAUGUUUGAGCCAGUCUGCCUGGAACUUUCCAAUACACGAGGCACUAAAUUACCUUUUAUACCUAAGCUGAUCUGAUGUGUUAUUGGAAGAGACCUGACAAACAGAUAUCAUAAAGCCACUGGUAUUGUCUGCAGCAAUGUUAAAUAGACUCAAUAUACAUCUAUACACCCAUAUAUGCCCUCAUAUAUGCACUAAAUACACCUUGACUUUAGGAGUUGGAGACUAAAUUGAUUUAAACUAAGAAGAAGUCAAAUAAAAUGCCUUAGAUAAUCUAUAAAUUACAAAUAAAAUAAAUAUAAAAUAUCUAAUAAGCUAACAGUUCGAGCAUUCUGCAAUUAAGGAAACUGCCUAGUUCACUUUGUUCUUUUGUUCUGUUUUGAAUUUCAUUAAUUUGCGUCUCCAUCUUUAUUAUUGUGUUUUUUCUCCUAGAUAUGUGUUUAGCUUGUUCUUAUUUUUCUGGUUUCUUUUGGGAAAAAGUUACAUUAUGGAUUUGAACAUUGUUUCUUUUCUAAUGUGUACAUUUAAUGAUAUAAAAUUCUAUCAAGGUGUUAUCCCUUUCCUACGAAUUUUGAUAUGUUGUCUUUUAAUUUUAAUUUAAGUAAAAUAUUUUUAGAUGUGUCAUUAGACUUCUUUUAUAAUCCAUGGGUUAUUUAGAAGUGUGUUGUUUACUUUUCAAAGACUUGGUGAUUUUCCAAAAAUUGUGUUACCGAUUUUAAUUUGCUUAUUUAAUAAUAAGAAAUUAUACCUUAUAUCAUCUAAAUUAUUUUAGUUUUUUAAGGUUUGUUUUAUAUCCUAGAAUAUAGUCUACAUUGAUAAAUGUCCUAUGUGUGCCUAGAAAUAAUGUAUAUUCUGCUGAUAGGGGAUAUGUUCUAUAAAUCUCAUAUAGAUCAGGUUGGGUUAUGUUUUUCUGGAUUUCUUUAUACUUGCUGAUUUCCUGUCUAAUAUAGUAAUUACUUGUCACUUUUUUAGUGAGGUGUUGAAGCUUCUAAGUUCAUUUAUGAAUUUCUCCAUUUUUGUUUCCUGUGCACACAAUUUUUGCUUUAUAUAUUUUACAGCUAUAUUGUGAGUGAAUACAUCUCAGGAUUGUGAUGUUUUCUUGAGGAAUUUAUCCUUUUAUCAAGACCAGUCAGUGGAGAAAAUAAUUUUAUUUUUCAAAAUAUGGUGUCACAUAAAUAAAUAUCCAAAUACAGAAGAAUGAAAUUGGACCUUACAUUACAACCCAUGCAAAAAUUAACUCAAAAUGGAUGAAAGUCCUAAAUGUUAAGACAUAAAUUUUCUUUUUUUUUUUUUUUUUGAGAUGAAGUUCUGCUCUUGUUGCCCAGGCUGUAGUGCAAUGGCACAAUCUUGGCUCACCUCAACCUCUGCCUCCCGGGUUCAAGCGAUUCUCCUGUCUCAGCCUCCUGAGUAGCUGUGAUUACAGGAAUGCACCACCACACCCAGCUAAUUUUGUAUUUCUAGUAGAGACAGGGUAUCUCCAUAUUGGUCAGGCUGGUCUCGAACUCACGACCUCAGGUGAUCUGUCCGCUUCUGCUUCCCAAAGUGCUGGGAAUACAGGCGUGAUCCACCACACCCGGCCAAGACAUAAAAUUUCUACAAGGCAAUAUGGUCAUAAAUCUUCUUGGUGUUGGAUUAGUUGAUAGUUUCUUAGUUAUGCUAUCAAAAGUACAAGCAAAAAAGAAAAAAAAAGAUAAAUUAGACCUCAAAAAAUUUUUAAAUAGUGCAUCAAAGGACACUAUCCAGAAACUAAAAAGAAAACUCAUAGAAUUGGAGAAAUAUUUGCAAAUGAUUUGGCUCGUAAGAUUCUAGUAUUCAGAAUAUAUAAAGGAUUCUGACAACUGAAGAAAACAAAGAAAAUGACCCAUUUACAAAAUAGGCAAAUCCUUUGAAUAGACAUUUCUCUAAGGAAGCUAUUCGAAUAGUCAAUGAGCACAUGGAAAGAUGAUCAACAACAUUAGUCAUUAGGGAAAUGCAAAUCAAAACCACAAUAAGAUACCAUUUCCCAUUCAUUAAGAUGGUUAUAAUUAAAAAGAUGGAAAUUAACAAGUGUUGGUGAGAAUGUGGAAAAACUGACGAUGGAAAUACAAAAUGCUACAGCCACUUCAGAAAAAAACGGAAGAUUCUCAACAAGUUAAACAUGGAGUUACCAUGUGACUCAGAAAUCUUUAGGUAUUUACCAAGAUGAUUGAAAAUAUAUGUUUAAAAAAUACUGUUACACAAAUGUCCAUGGGCAUUACUCAUAUUGUCCAAAUAUUGGAAACAAUCCAAAUAUGCAUCAACUUACAGAGAACAAAAUGGUUAUAUGUCCAUAUAAUAGAACCUGAUUCAACCAUAAAAAUUAAUAACAUUGAUGAAACUUGAAAACCUUAUGUUAAGCAAAAGAUGCUGGUAACAAAAGUGAUUCAAUUUAUAUGAAAUUUUCAGAAUAUGCAAAUUCAUAGGUAUAGAAAGCAGAUUAGUGGGUACCAGCAGUGGUGAGGAGGAGGGAGAGAGGCUGUUAAUGGGUACAGGGUUUCUUUUGAAGGUGAUGAAAUGUUCUGGAAUUAAAUAGCGGUGAUGGUUAUAUAAACCUACGACUAUAAUUUAAAAAGUGUAUUGUGUGCUUUAAAUAGUGAAUUUCACGAUAUGUGGAUUUUAUCUCAAAUUUAAAAAGAAAAAAAAUAAACCACCCUUUAUUGGC